AGGCCAACCGCUGGCGGCGUGCCUAAUACAUGCAAGUCGAGCGGACCGACGGGAGCUUGCUCCCUUAGGUCAGCGGCGGACGGGUGAGUAACACGUGGGUAACCUGCCUGUAAGACUGGGAUAACUCCGGGAAACCGGGGCUAAUACCGGAUGCUUGAUUGAACCGCAUGGUUCAAUCAUAAAAGGUGGCUUUUAGCUACCACUUCCAGAUGGACCCGCGGCGCAUUAGCUAGUUGCUGACCCAACCACUCACCAAGGCGACGAUGCGUAGCCGACCUGAGAGGGUGAUCGGCCACUCUGCCCCUUCACUCCUCCCAGAUUCUUACGCGAGGCAUCAUCAGUGUUCCUUCCUCUCCUCCACAUCCUCCCCCGCACCCCCUCCUCCUCUUCCUCGUGGGGGCUCAAGUUA
This 409-nucleotide ribosomal RNA is filed under the name Bacillus licheniformis. RNAcentral describes it as "bacterial SSU rRNA". It matches the Rfam family "Bacterial small subunit ribosomal RNA", at positions 26 to 416 of the family's 1533-position model. The record is from RNAcentral. Lineage: Bacteria; Bacillati; Bacillota; Bacilli; Caryophanales; Bacillaceae.